CAUCUAAAUGAUCAGUUUAUUGAAUUUUAGUAAUGUAAGUUGAGAUCAUGAAACAUACAAUCUAAUUCAAAAGAAGAAUCAUAGGUACCAAUUCAACACCAUUAGCACUACUUUCACAAUAGUGACACCCCACUUAUAACACUCUUUUUUGGGUCUCUGACUGUGAACAAGAUUGUGGAAGGUUGGUUGAGGUUAGGCCUAGGCAUUACGGUUAAGAAAUAACAGAUGCUAAUUAGUUAGUGGGGAAGUGAAGCUCAUGUUUAGGCCUUUUCAUAAUGUCUUUAUGCUAAAUAAAUUAAAUGAAGUAAACAGCCAUGGCUAUUGAACUACAGAAUACAUAAAAAUACAUUCUGUGAUUCACCUAUAAACAAAAGAGUAAAGCAGAAUGUGUCAAAUUUUCCAUAGCAGGUAAAGCAUAGAAAAAAAAUCUAGCUGAUAUAGUUGUUAUGUUUCAACAACAUAAAAUGAAAUUUGUAUAGGAAUACCUCAAAAAAG
This 495-nucleotide long non-coding RNA is filed under the name Homo sapiens (human). RNAcentral's name for it is "HSALNT0115839". Lineage: Eukaryota; Metazoa; Chordata; Mammalia; Primates; Hominidae. The record is from RNAcentral.